Long non-coding RNA from Tympanuchus pallidicinctus (lesser prairie-chicken), 1054 nucleotides. RefSeq lists it as uncharacterized. NCBI's taxonomy places the organism in Eukaryota, Metazoa, Chordata, Aves, Galliformes, Phasianidae. The transcript has 3 exons. The record is from RefSeq and is a predicted model, not a curated record.
CAGACACCCACUGCAUGUACAGCUGAGUGUGGACCUGGAGGAAAGUUGAUUCUGCAGCACUGAUGAGCUUUGUGACCCACCUCUUUGAACAAUCCCCUGCCGUGUGUUUCAGCCCAACGCGUGUGGAAGAAGUGUUCCAGGAAGUUUUCCUGCAAACUGGAGAGUAUCGGGGCAGGGGAUAAGGAGACAACUGGAAUUGCUGAGAAAGAGAGCGAGGUGGUGAGUGCUGCAGAUGGGCCACUGGAGUGGAAGACAGUGUGGGUGGUGGGAUCAGGAGCUGGUGAGGGUGCUGCUCCCACGGAACAGGAGGCUGCUGCUGGAGAUGACAAACCUCAGGGAGAAGAAAAGGAGAUCGAUGUUUCCCAGGUACCUCAUGUUGUUGUGUGGGGAGCAUUAGAGGAAUCCAGCCAGAUCCAGCAGCUCCAGCACAGGCGAGGCUGAUGCAGCUCCAUGCCCCAGGGUCCAACAAGCAGUGAGGAUGAGCAUGUAUUCUCAGUCAGUGCACACACAGAGCACACAGACAUAUUUGUACACACACAGACAGCCAUGGGAAUCAAAGGCAGGCACACGGGGUGCUCACACAAACACAAGCAUUACCAGAGGCCUCAUCGCGUUCACCUCUGGCUGAGUAGGUAGAGCUCUACUAGUGGGAAUACAUGGAUUUGUAUGUACAUGCUGUUGUCACUCAAGUCCACUCACCUGAGUGUCUCCAGUGGCUGGCACCUGGAUCUCUCCUGCAGCUGGCAGAUGGGCACACAGGCCUUCCAAUCCACGGUCUGAGCCUAAUGCACACACGAGCAAGAAUAACAGACAGCCCUCACCCUGGAGAGGAGUUAGCCAGCAACUUGAUGAGAAGAUAGGACAGACCACACUCAUCAGGUGCAGGACGUGGCCAGAUAACAUCUGAACUGUCCAUGCUUACGUGCAAGCAGUCCAUUUCUGCUGUUACCUGUGCCUUUGUUGUCCCACACUUGUUCCUCCCCAGAUCGCCUCAACCCACCCACUGCUUUUGGUUUCUCCCUUAAACAUCCCAUAGUAAGUCUUGUACAGUAAU